RNAcentral lists this long non-coding RNA (3417 nucleotides) under Homo sapiens (human). RNAcentral describes it as "HSALNT0039304". The record is from RNAcentral. Lineage: Eukaryota; Metazoa; Chordata; Mammalia; Primates; Hominidae.
GAAAUUUGUGAAUGUGAAGCAACUAAUUACUGUUUCCCUCUGGGCAAAGUUUAUAAUAGCACAGAAAAAAGUGGCCAAAUGUUAUGUGGAAAUGCUUAUGAAUAACUCAGGACUUCACAGACUCUGUGACCUUAGGAAUGCAUUACCACCUGUGAUGUAUGCCUCUGGGACAAAUGCCUUGUGGUCAGGUGUGGGCAGAUAAGUGCUGGGAAGACAGUCCCUCAUGUGCACAGCCCAAGAAUUGCCCAGAAUUGUGUGGCCUAAAAUCUUAUUAUCUAUACUUUUGUUGAAGUUUGCUAAGAAUUUUGAUUGCCAAGAAUCUUCCUUUAAGUACUCCAGGAGGAACUUUUCAUUGACACUAUUGAUAGGGAACAGCCUAGCACACUGGUGCUCUACCAUGAAUGCACAUUUUGAAUCUCCUGCGGAGCUAUACAGAAAAGUCCAGCGGGCAUCUAGACUUCCUCCUCAAGAUUUCUGAUUAAACUGGGCAUUCCUAGUAAGUCUCGGGAGAAGCCUGGACAAGGACGGUUUUUGAAAGCCAAACGGGAUGGGGCUGUUGAAAAGCAGAGUAUCAUAGGAUCAGUUCCUCUGGAAUAACUUAUGAACAACGUUUUGCUUUCUCCAGCAUUGAUGUGAUUUUAAAAUCAGGGUUAGUGUUACACCAGCUGAAGCAAGAGAAUAUUAAUAUUGUGGCCACAUGAGGGACCCCCAUGUCACAAUUCUCUGCUGACUACCGCAUAUGACAAUAAUUCGCCUUCCUAAAUGCUCUGCAUUCUCUAUUUUCACAACCACCGGUGAGACAAGGGAUAUCAGAUUGGUUUCAUUUGUCAUGUCAUCCCUAAUAGAUGGGUGGUGAUUGCCUGAGUGCUGUGUUGCAAAACAAUCAGAGGUUGUAUCUGACAACAGCAGUAAAAGCUACCUGAUCAAUUAGUGAUGUCUGCCAUGAGUGCUUGGAAUGAGGAAUGGCAAUGCACAGGACAGGCUUUGCUAGCUUUGCAUAACUCAACAGAAGCAGAGAGUUGUCUGCAGAUGACCUUAUGUAUCUCCACAUGUAUAUUACAGAAGAGUGCCCUCUCCCAUCAGAAUAGUAGGAUGUAUUAGGUUUACUUAUAUAACUAGUCAAUACCUUAGGAGGUCUUUUAAGCUUAGUAUUAGAAACUUUUUUUUUUUGCUUUUUGUUUUCUCUGCCUUUCAUAAAACACAAUGGGCAUAGAAAGCACUGAUUGUAAGAGGCUUACAGUUUCACUAGAGAAAGUGUAUGUGCAAUCAACAACUAAUAAGCACAGUAUUAUUUAUUGUGACAGAAUUGUGUGCUGAUAUAAUAAAGAUGAUAAAGGGAGUAAAUUCUUAAUGAUGUGGUCUGAGGAACAAACACUAAUUCUAUAGUCCACCAGAUACUGCUUUGACCAAGCGGAUAUUAGAGGCAAAUGGGUGAAUUCACAUUCUGAGCAGAGCUGGUUUCUCUCACAAAUAAUCACAACACAACACGCGCAACCUAACACAGCACAGCAUGAGUCUCAUCACCAUAUUAUUCUUUAAUCAAUUCAGUGAUAAUUUGUCCAACUUCUCAUUAACUUUCUUUUCUCAUAGGCAAGUAUUCCAGCUUAUUAGCUUUAUAUAAAGAACAAGGAUCUAGACAUCCAACAGACCUUUCAGACCUCAGCUCUGCCACUUAACUUUCUGGCCUCCAGAAAGUCUCUGAUGCCUACAAAUCCCUGUUGCCACAUACAAGGUAGAUAUAACAAAACUUCCCUUGCAGGAAUAUUUUAAGAUUUAAGAAGAUAUGUCAACAAUCUGGUGCUUAAUAGGGUUUCAUUAAAUGGCAAGAUAUUAUUUCCUGAAUUAUAAAAUGACAUUGAUUUUAAGAUGCGCUCUUGAAUUAAUAGAAAGUUUCCAGGGGGGAAAAACAUCCCUUCAUUAUAACGUACAUCUCAUUGUAAUGUGAGUCUGAAUUUUAUAGACUAUAACAUGUGAAGUGCGUGUGAGCCUAGCAGCAGCGAUAUGUUGCCAGAACCAGCAUGUACAGCCAGAACAAGCAUAUGAACAGCAGCAAAUGUUCCUCCAGAGCCUACCAUGUGCCAGGAACUGCCAUCAAACAUUUAAUUCUCACAGGAACCCAACCAGGUUGGUCCUAUUAGCCACCACAUGUUACAGACAAGGCCACUGAGGCACUACUAUGAGAGUAAAUUGGCUAAGCCCUCAUAGCCAGAAAGUGACAGAGCCUGAAUUUCAGCCGGGCGUCCUGGCACUCAAAGCCAUGCCCUCAGCACCGUGCUGGGCUCCCCAGGGCUGGCUGCCAGAAGGUGUCUGGACCUGUUAGUGGAGGAACCCUGAGGACUGGCAGGGAGGGGGCAUCAAAGCAGAAUCAAGAUGGAAGCUGACUCACCAUUGAGAGAGGCUGCCUGUAGGCCAAGGGAAGUACCUACAAGGCAGCUGGACACUGAGACUGGAAGCCCAGGGAGUCAGAAGAUGGAAGGCAGGAGUGAGGCACGUGAGGAAAAGCAGUUCUGGGAAAACACAGGAAACCAGCCACAUGUGCAGGUCAUGGGGUCUGAUGCUUUCUGUCAAGAGGUAAGUGGACAUGGGUACGCUGACAUUUUCCUACAUGCAACAGGCUUUGAAUCUGGUUCCCUGUUUCUUCUGAGGCCAUGCACGCAUACCUCAAGACCAAGAGAACAGUUGAAGUAUGUUACGGGUUAAACUGCAUCCCCUCCUAAAAUUCAUAUAUUGAAGUCCUGACCCCAAGUACCUCAGAAUGUGACCUGAUUUGGAGAUGGGGCCUUUGCAGAGUUAGGUUAAAAUGAGGUCUUUAGGGUGGGCCCUAAUCCAAUGUAACUGAUGUCUUAAUGAAACAGGGAGAUUUGGACCCAGACAUGCCCGUACAGGGAGAUCACCAUGUCCACCCACAAAGCCAAGGAGAGAGGUCCGGAGCAGGUUCCCCCUCACAGCCCGCGGAAGGAACCAAUCCUGCUGGCACCUUAACUUCACAUGUCUGGCCUCCAGAACUGUGAGAGAAUGUUGUGAAUGCAAGAGGAAAGCAUCCUAAGGAGGAGGAUUUGGCGGGACCUAACAAGACCACAGUGCAUUGACCCUUUGGCCCAGCAAUGUCACUUCUAGGACUUCAUCUUGAAAAUCCACCUCCAGAAAUGCAAAGCAUCAUAGGCAGAAGAUCAUUCACUGUGGCUUCAUACGUAAUAGCACAAUAUUACAAAAAAUAAAAAUGCUGAUUUGUAGAAGAUUGGUUAAAUAAAUUAUGAUAUAUCAGCGCUGUUUUUUUACAAAAGGAAUGAGGAAUAUCUGUAUUCAUUGAUAUGUAGUGACUUUGAGGAUAUACUAUUUAAAUUAAAAACUAAGCACUACACACAUACAUUCAUAUAUAUAUAUGUAUACAUCUGCAGAUUUUGUACAAAUAAAGGG